RNAcentral lists this ribosomal RNA (315 nucleotides) under uncultured bacterium. RNAcentral describes it as "bacterial SSU rRNA". It matches the Rfam family "Bacterial small subunit ribosomal RNA", at positions 28 to 334 of the family's 1533-position model. The record is from RNAcentral.
GAUGAACGCUAGCGGGAGGCUUAAUACAUGCAAGUCGAGGGGCAGCGCGGUUGAAUUUCGGUUUAACUGGCGGCGACCGGCGAACGGGUGAGUAACGCGUACAUAACCUGCCUACUACAGAGGGACAGCCCUGGGAAACUGGGAUUAAUACCUCAUGGUCUUUAUUGGUGGCAUCACUGAUUUAGUAAAGUUUCGGCGGUAGUAGAUGGAUGUGCGUACUAUUAGCUAGUUGGUAAGGUAGUGGCUUACCAAGGCUACGAUAGUUAGGGGGCGUGAGAGCGUGGUCCCCCACACGGGUACUGAGACACGGACCCG